Molecule: ribosomal RNA, 627 nt
Filed under: uncultured Russulaceae
Lineage: Eukaryota; Fungi; Basidiomycota; Agaricomycetes; Russulales; Russulaceae
Description: LSU rRNA
Rfam family: Eukaryotic large subunit ribosomal RNA
Source: RNAcentral
UAAGCGGAGGAAAAGAAACUAACAAGGAUUCCCCUAGUAACUGCGAGUGAAGCGGGAAAAGCUCAAAUUUAAANUCUGGCGGUCUUUGGCCGUCCGAGUUGUAAUUUAGAGAAGCGUCUUCCGCGCUGGACCGUGCACAAGUCUCCUGGAAUGGAGCGUCAUAGAGGGUGAGAAUCCCGUCUUUGGCACGGAUGCCUGGUGCUUCUGUGAUGCGCUCUCGAAGAGUCGAGUUGUUUGGGAAUGCAGCUCAAAAUGGGUGGUGAACUCCAUCUAAAGCUAAAUAUUGGCGAGAGACCGAUAGCGAACAAGUACCGUGAGGGAAAGAUGAAAAGCACUUUGGAAAGAGAGUGAAACAGUACGUGAAAUUGUUGAAAGGGAAACGCUUGAAGUCAGUCGCGUCGACCGAGACUCAGCCUUGCCUUGGCUUGGUGUACUUCUCGGCCCGACGGGUCAGCAUCAAUUUUGCCCCUCGGAUAAUGACAAGGGAAAGGUGGCACCUUUACGGGUGUGUUAUAGUCUCCUGUCGAAUGCGAGGGGUGGGAUUGAGGAACUCAGCGCGCACCUCAGUGUCGGGGCUUCGGCCCACGUCACGCGCUUAGGAUGCUGGCGUAAUGGCUUUAAACGACC